This is a long non-coding RNA of Cyprinus carpio carpio, 1618 nucleotides long. The record is from Ensembl. NCBI's taxonomy places the organism in Eukaryota, Metazoa, Chordata, Actinopteri, Cypriniformes, Cyprinidae.
CAUCCGCUUUAAAUAAAGCAGUUUUUGUCCUUACUUGUAUCCAAGCACAUUAUUAAUUGCCAUUAUAUUCACAAUUAACAAGACAUAGUAAUUACCCCCUCUCUCUUUCCUAAUGGCAUCCCCAUGUUGAAUGGAUGAGAGUAAGAUUAGUAUCUCGGAAGGGGAAGACAGCUGAAAUAAAUAAUGGUCAUUAGAGGGUGUUCACCAAUGUGUCUCGGAAGGCAACUUUCUCGUAUCCUGCCUAUUAGUUGCGCUCGGAUGCGCUGGAGCUUUUUCAGAAAACCAGAUUUACAUUAGAGUUAAAAAUAAGUGUGAUGAUGAAUUUGUCAUCAAGGUCUCACAACAGACAUUAAGAAUAUCUACGCAUGUACGCAUGUCACUGAACUAGGUUUGUUUUUGGACAAUUUUAGGUCAAGAAACUGAACAGUUUUUCUUCUAUUUUAUCAAAUUGCCUUUGGAAUUCUAUUCAGAUUCUACUGUAUAGACCAGUGCAACUCAAGCCUCCUGUAAAUAUUUAUUAAAAUGCUGCAAUAUCUAAAUGUAAGAACACCAUCUGCUUCAUUUUAAAUAAUUUUACAGAAUGUUUUUGAUCAUAGCAUAACUACACCUUGCAAUAAAAUGGAAAUUGCUACAGGAGAACAUUGUGAUCUGCUACAUGCUUUUGGAGAGUCAUGACAGAAAUAUGUGUUCUUUCAUAUUUUUAAAAUAUGUAGCAUAUUUUGAUAUGGAUUGAACUCAUUCUCUUCGCAGGACCCAUUUAUUCCCUCUCUUUGAAAACCGAAUCGUAUUUAAGGGACGGCAUUAUGAGCGACAGAGACGCAGCCAAAGCACCUCAUUCAGCAAUCAGCAAGAUAGUUAAUCCAGACUGUGGGGCCGCAUCCGGACGGGCCCCGGGGCCGUAUUUCAGAGGACACAUCCAUCAUUUGUGAUGUGGCUGAUGUUCCCAUAACUCCAGUCUCACUGGGGUAAUGUUUGCUGGCAUAAUUCAGAGCUCUAUAAAUACAAGAGCUUGAAGGAAAUACGGUGCUUUUAUUAAAACUGUAAAUCGAAAGACUUUCCUACAAAAACCAGAAAAAAUCACUGGCUUUCCCUCAACCCGAGGUUUGCGUUAUUAUAUUGCUCAUGCCAUCUGAUGAUGACAGAAGAAAUGUAAACAGAAACAACAGCGGGAAGCAAAUUUAUUGAAAUAGGUCAAAAUGUCACAUCUUUUUUUCUUUUUUCUUUUUUUUCUUUUUUUCAUUAGCCUUACCCAGGCUUUUGGGUAAGUAUAUAUAUUAUUAUUAUUAUUAUUAUUAUUAUUAUUAUUAUUAUUACUAUUAUUUGAUAUAUAUAUAUAUAUAUAUAUAUAUAUAUAUAUAUAUAUAUAUAUAUCUCAAAUAAUAAUAAUAAUAAUAAUAAUAAUUUAAUUCAUUACAUUUUAAUUUUAGUGAGUUAGUUUUUUAAUAAUAAUAAUAAUAAUUUUAUUAUUAUUAUAUAAAAAUGUCUUACUGUCUCAAGUAUUAAAUAGUAAGAAAAUAUUAUAUUAUAUUAUAUUAUAUUAUAUUAUAUUAUAUUAUAUUAUAUUAUAUUAUAUUAUAUUAUAUUAUAUUAUAUUAUAUUAUAUUAUAUUAUAUUGCUC